AUAAAACGCCGCUCGUGCAUAACGAAGGGGGAGCCACAUGUCCAUGGAUUGAAAACGAGGCAAAGCGAGAAAAACACCAAAGGUUUGAAGAAACUCAUGGAUCACAGGAGAUGUAAAGUAAAGGCUUUUACCGAGAAGACGUGGAAAGAUUUGUUGGAUGCUCUUGACAUCAAAUGCAAGAAGUUUGAAGAGGUUUACCAAACAAGAGAGAAUGAUGAUGAUAGAAGUAGAAAAGAAGAAGAUCUUCAUAUCAAAGACGACCUGAAGCACAUCGACGAAGAAGAGGACUAGAAAAUUCAAAUUGGGACACCAACAAUUCCCGGCGAAGGACUGCAAAUUUAGACAUACUCGGAACUGUGACACAUGACCUCGGUUUAAACUUGUGGAUUUACUUUAACCUCCACGACCAUAAAAUAAACGGCCUAAAGCUGUACUACUGCUCUACGUAUGCGUCUUAUGGACGAAAUAAAUGGUUUAAAAUAC
Long non-coding RNA from Saccostrea cuccullata (small rock oyster), 483 nucleotides. RefSeq lists it as uncharacterized. The transcript is spliced from 2 exons. Lineage: Eukaryota; Metazoa; Mollusca; Bivalvia; Ostreida; Ostreidae. The record is from RefSeq and is a predicted model, not a curated record.